AUUGAACGCUGGCGGCAUGCCUUACACAUGCAAGUCGAACGGUAACAGGUCUUCGGAUGCUGACGAGUGGCGAACGGGUGAGUAAUACAUCGGAACGUGCCCAGACGUGGGGGAUAACGAGGCGAAAGCUUUGCUAAUACCGCAUACGAUCUAAGGAUGAAAGCAGGGGACCGCAAGGCCUUGUGCGUUUGGAGCGGCCGAUGGCAGAUUAGGUAGUUGGUGGGAUAAAAGCUUACCAAGCCGACGAUCUGUAGCUGGUCUGAGAGGACGACCAGCCACACUGGGACUGAGACACGGCCCAGACUCCUACGGGAGGCAGCAGUGGGGAAUUUUGGACAAUGGGCGAAAGCCUGAUCCAGCAAUGCCGCGUGCAGGAUGAAGGCCUUCGGGUUGUAAACUGCUUUUGUACGGAAAGAAAAGGCUCUGGCUAAUACCUGGGGCACAUGACGGUACCGUAAGAAUAAGCACCGGCUAACUACGUG
Molecule: ribosomal RNA, 482 nt
Filed under: uncultured bacterium
Lineage: Bacteria
Description: partial 16S ribosomal RNA
Rfam family: Bacterial small subunit ribosomal RNA
Source: RNAcentral